GCUGGGUCUGUCACAAUGGAUUCAGCAAUGCUGAUGCACAGGUGGUCUGUCGUCAGCUUGGAUAUGGGACCUCAGGAGCCAUUGCCAGAACUAGCUCAUACUAUGGUUGGGGUAAUGGAGUAACAUGGAUUGAUUAUGUUGGUUGUUCUGGAUCCGAGACUAACAUAUCAAGCUGCAGUUACUCAAGUUCUCUAACUAGCUCUUGUACUAUAACCAGAAUUGCUGGUGUCGUGUGUCAAACUGGUGGGUCUUGUACAAAUUAUGAUGUUCGUUUAAUUCCGACUUCAUCAUCUUACCGAUCAUAUGGUCGCGUUGAGGUCUGUCUUAACAAUCAGUGGGGGACUGUUUGUGAUGACGGGUGGAGUACUUAUGACGCAAACACUUUUUGCAGACAACUGGGCUAU
Amphimedon queenslandica is the source of this 404-nucleotide long non-coding RNA. RefSeq lists it as uncharacterized. NCBI's taxonomy places the organism in Eukaryota, Metazoa, Porifera, Demospongiae, Haplosclerida, Niphatidae. The transcript is spliced from 3 exons. The record is from RefSeq and is a predicted model, not a curated record.